RNAcentral lists this ribosomal RNA (266 nucleotides) under uncultured bacterium. RNAcentral's name for it is "partial 16S ribosomal RNA". It matches the Rfam family "Bacterial small subunit ribosomal RNA", at positions 793 to 1055 of the family's 1533-position model. The record is from RNAcentral.
GUCCACGCCCUAAACGAUGUCAACUAGGUGUUGGGUGGGUAAAACCAUUUAGUACCGGAGCUAACGCGUGAAGUUGACCGCCUGGGGAGUACGGCCGCAAGGUUAAAACUCAAAGGAAUUGACGGGGACCCGCACAAGCGGUGGAUGAUGUGGAUUAAUUCGAUGCAACGCGAAAACCUUACCUACCCUUGACAUGUCCAGAAGCUCUUAGAGAUUUUGAGUGUGCCCGAAAGGGAACUGCAACACAGGUGCUGCAUGGCUGUCGU